GACGAACGCUGGCGGCGUGCUUAACACAUGCAAGUCGAACGAUGACGACCGAGCUUGCUCGGUCUGAUUAGUGGCGAACGGGUGAGUAACACGUGAGCAACCUGCCCUUCACUCUGGGAUAACCUCGGGAAAUCGGGGCUAAUACCGGAUAAGAGCUCCUGUCGCAUGGCGGGUGUUGGAAAGUUUUUCGGUGAAGGAUGGGCUCGCGGCCUAUCAGUUUGUUGGUGAGGUAGUGGCUCACCAAGGCGAUGACGGGUAGCCGGCCUGAGAGGGCGACCGGCCACACUGGGACUGAGACACGGCCCAGACUCCUACGGGGGGCAGCAGUGGGGAAUAUUGCACAAUGGGCGAAAGCCUGAUGCAGCGACGCCGCGUGAGGGAUGACGGCCUUCGGGUUGUAAACCUCUUUCAGCAGGGAAGAAGCGAAAGUGACGGUACCUGCAGAAGAAGCGCCGGCUAACUACGUG
Molecule: ribosomal RNA, 467 nt
Filed under: uncultured bacterium
Lineage: Bacteria
Description: partial 16S ribosomal RNA
Rfam family: Bacterial small subunit ribosomal RNA
Source: RNAcentral